UAAUGGGUCAGCGACUUAUAUUCAGUGGCAAGGUUAACCAUCUAGGGGAGCCGUAGGGAAACCGAGUCUUAACUGGGCGUUCAGUCUCUGGAUAUAGACCCGAAACCAGGUGAUCUAGCCAUGGGCAGGUUGAAGGUUGAGUAACAUCAACUGGAGGACCGAACCGACUAAUGUUGAAAAAUUAGCGGAUGACUUGUGGCUAGGGGUGAAAGGCCAAUCAAACCUGGAGAUAGCUGGUUCUCCCCGAAAGCUAUUUAGGUAGCGCCUCGGACGAAUACUACUGGGGGUAGAGCACUGUUAAGGCUAGGGGGUCAUCCCGACUUACCAACCCUUUGCAAACUCCGAAUACCAGUAAGUACUAUCCGGGAGACACACGGCGGGUGCUAACGUCCGUCGUGGAGAGGGAAACAACCCAGACCGCCAGCUAAGGUCCCAAAUUACUACUAAGUGGGAAACGAUGUGGGAAGGCUCAGACAGCCAGGAUGUUGGCUUAGAAGCAGCCAUCAUUUAAAGAAAGCGUAAUAGCUCACUGGUCGAGUCGGCCUGCGCGGAAGAUGUAACGGGGCUAAGUAGUAAACCGAAGCUGCGGCAAUAUACUUUUGUAUAUUGGGUAGGGGAGCGUUCUGUAAGCGGUUGAAGGUGUGUGGUAACGCAUGCUGGACGUAUCAGAAGUGC
Molecule: ribosomal RNA, 675 nt
Filed under: Vibrio parahaemolyticus
Lineage: Bacteria; Pseudomonadati; Pseudomonadota; Gammaproteobacteria; Vibrionales; Vibrionaceae
Description: partial 23S ribosomal RNA
Rfam family: Bacterial large subunit ribosomal RNA
Source: RNAcentral